UCUGUAUAGCCCUGGCUGUCCUGGAACUCACUCUGUAGACCAGGCUGGCCUCAAAAUCAGAAAUCCGCCUGCCUAUGCCUCCCAUAGUGCUGGGAUUACAGGCAUGCACCACCACCGUCUGGCAGCCUAAACAUUUGUAAUGUUGGUGCUACUGUGGAAAAGUGGGAGGCAAAGACAGAAAAGUCCCUAGAAGCUUACAGGCCAGCUAGCUUAGUGUGCUCAACACGCGCACGCACGUGUGCGUGUGUAGAUCCCCAGGACCUACAUAGAGAAUCCUGCAUGUUCUUUGGCCUACACACACACACACACACAGAUAUACACAGAGGCACACACAUGGGCACACAGAGGCAUGUAGUACUGUGAUGGUUUGUAUAUGCUUGUCCCAGGGAGUGGCACUAUUAGAAGGUGUUGCCUUGUUGGAGGAAGUGUCACUGUGGGGAUGGACUUGGAGAUCUUCCUCCUAGAUGCCUGAGCAUGCCCAGUCUGUUCCUGGCUUCCUUUGGAAAAAGAUGCAGAACCCUCAGCUCCUCCUGCACCAUGCCUGUCUGGAUGCUGCCAUGCUUCUGCCUUGAUGACAAAGGACUGAACGCCUGAACCUGGUCUCACACCAUAGCUCCUGCUUUCUUGGAAUUCACUGUGUAGCCCCAGUUGGCUGUGAACUCAGCAGUCCUGCUUCAACAUCUCAGUACGCACUGUCAUCCAAGUGAGGUCCAGCCAGUGAGAUGGUCAGAGUGCUCGUCCUGUGUAGGUCCUGAGUUCAAUUUCUAGCAACUGCAUGGCAGCUCACAACUGCCCACAACUCCAGUUCCAGGAAUCUGACUCCCUCAAACACCAAAGACAUAAAUAAAUUAUUCGAGAAGAAGAGGAAGAGGAGGAGGAGGAAACUAUCCUACCCAACAGUGGAUGGAAGGAAUCACCCCCAUUAACAGUGGAGGGGCUGGAACACAGAAGGCUUAAGGAAGCUACCGGGGCCCACACAGUCCAUUUCUCAUGAACUAGAGGAAACUGAGGCUCCCGGUCCUUGUGUCUCUUUCAUCCUUGCUUCCUUGGGCCUAAGUCAGCACAUGGCACACCCUAGUACUUGGAAAAUACUGGUUGACUGAAUGAGCCAAUGAAUGGUCUAUGAGUUCAACAGAGUCUUCUGUGAGAACACAAAAUAACAAUAAACAAUAAAACCAAACAUUAAACUACA
This is a long non-coding RNA of Apodemus sylvaticus (European woodmouse), 1192 nucleotides long. RefSeq lists it as uncharacterized. The transcript has 3 exons. NCBI's taxonomy places the organism in Eukaryota, Metazoa, Chordata, Mammalia, Rodentia, Muridae. The record is from RefSeq and is a predicted model, not a curated record.